UAUUACGCGAUUAUAAAAGUAGCGAGAUAACUAACAAAUAGCUUCACGUAAUGUCCCCGUUAAUGAAUUCAGCGGUUGAUGUAUCACGCGGGCCUCUGAACUCAGGUGUUGACCACGUAAAGCACACGAACCGGGCGCUCGCGCAGCUGAGCACGCAGAGGAAGAGCAGCGCGCACAGGGCGGGGAACUCGCUGGAAGCGGCCGCCAUCGGCGUCUCCUACUCAAACGAAAGUGAUGCGGUUUUCUGCCGAGAGUUUUCGGAGGAUGAGGGAUCCGCCCCGCGAGGAGGCGCCGCAGCAACCGGGGGAUUACUUUUUCUCAGUUUGUGACUCGUGACUACGUAUAGCCUGUGAAUAACACAUUUGACGUGUUGGUCUCAACUAAAUGUUGGCAACCGUAUGUUGUUGUGUGCUAUAUGUUGACAUUUACGGUAUUAAACAAGAAGCCGGUAUAAAAGCUGUUGACUGGAGUUGUUUUAGGGUAGAAUUCUGACUAAUCUUGUACAAAAAAUGAAUGCUUUUACUGUACAGUUAGUUAGAUAAUUAAUUAAUUAAGUAAAAAAAUAUAUAUAUAAGUUGAAAAUGCCCAUUUCUAAAUAUUUGAACCGGCAAGGAUACUGAAUAUGAAGUAUUUUACAAAUUUCUCCAAAGUUAAAGGUACCGUAAAUGUCUGCGUAUACGUGCACUAAAAUUCCAGUGUCCGCUUGAGUUGACCGCAUUCAUGAACCAUCUCGGGAAUGGUUUAAAGAGGGCCCAAAAUACAGGGACAUAGAAUAUACCAUAAAUAUAUUAAUUAAUCAAUAAUUCUAAAUUUGUUUCAAUGCAUGAUGCUGGGAAUAUGUUUCUAGUUGUUGUUUUUUGUAAGAAUCCAAGCUCAAACUCACAUUAUCUGCAUUGGAAUAAGUUACAGCCCUUAAAAAUAAAUAAAAAGCCAUGAGCAUUUGUUUGGUGUGAAGAUUAGUCUGUGCGAAACUCAAAUUGUGCCACUAGGAGGUGGCAUUGCUCUUUGUAUACGAUGACAGGCGGAGAUUGCUAAAAAUGAUAUUCAGUGAUGCAUAUUCAAACUAGAUUGUUUAAAAUAUUCAAUACCAACAGCAGAUUUGCCAUACAACAGAAACUGCCUGUAGACAUAAACUACCCAGCUUUACUGCAUGCACUGUGUUUGUAAUUCAUUCCUUUUAAAUCUCUGCAGUACUUUUAUUGUGUUAUGAGCGCCCGGUUGUAAAGUUUAGAACAUGCAUGUUUGCCGUAUCAGCAGCACCUCAUACUGACUCAUUUCUGGCUUAUUCUCUUCUUGGACAGGUCAUUUGCAAAAUACAGAUAUGGCGGUUAUGUCGGUAAGCAAAGCACCACACAGCUGGAUUUCGGCAACCCCUCUGGCCAUAACAAUACAUGCAUCCAUAUAAUCGUACUCUUUGGUUUAUAACGUUAUUUUGGAGUGAGUUAAUGAUGUCCUCAUGUGCUAUACGAGUCAUUUCUGUAGCAGGAAAUGCUUUCUUUCUAAAUGAAUGCCUCACUCCCACCCUAUACUAAAUAAAUGCCAUAUUUGUUUGAUCUCUGCCAA
Molecule: non-coding RNA, 1563 nt
Organism: Gasterosteus aculeatus aculeatus (three-spined stickleback)
Lineage: Eukaryota; Metazoa; Chordata; Actinopteri; Perciformes; Gasterosteidae
Source: RefSeq, a predicted model, not a curated record